UCCAUCAAGUCGGAGGUUGACAGUUAACAAGGCAGCUGUAAGUGGAAGUCAUAUAUGAAGCAUUUUUAUUUUUUUCCUUAAUAUGCAGUAAGCUUAGCUUGUGAGUGCAAAAGGUUAGCCACGACCUUGUUUCCUCUCCUUGGAUGCCGCAUGGGCAUGAUGAGCAUUUCAUCAUGCACUUCUAAAUAUAACCGAAUCUCUAUUUAGAUCCAAAUGGCUAAAAGAAAUAGAAAAGGGAACCACUAUGGUACUAUUAGUGCACAUAUUUGUAGAUUGAAGUCAUUAUAUGCCAAAUGUUCUAUUCAUGUACUGUUGCAUAUUUCUGGCUACCAUUGAGAAAUUUCAUCGUGUCAAAAAAAUGCAUCCAAUUGGGGGUUGGUGUUUAAGAAAAUGAUUCCGAAGAUCAAGUCCCACCUGUGUUUCUUUUGUGUGUCUGUCUUUGAAGGCAUUUCUUUUGUGCGUCUGUCUGGAAAUAUAGGCAUUCUUUCUUUCAAUGCCAAAUAGGUUUCCUCUAAUAACUGAAGCUUAAUUCUGUUGUCUCUUCUUAAAAUUCCCCAGGGAGGCCAAAGCAAGCCUGGGCAAACCCCGCGGAAAUCUGAGAAUGAUUCAAGUACCCCAAGGUUACUGGGAACUGCUGGGGAGCUACCUUCUGGAAACAAGAGAUAAGAAAAGAUUCACAGUUGUGUAUUUAUUGCAACAGUUCUGAAAAGAAAGGUCCUUUUUGUCCAUACGGCAAUAAAUAUGAAAUAAAUGCUUGUAAUAUAUGAAAAUAGUGUACUGAGCAGACUAUCUAUUCCUUUCAGCAACGUGCUCUUCCAUUGCG
This 823-nucleotide unclassified non-coding RNA is filed under the name Hevea brasiliensis (rubber tree). Lineage: Eukaryota; Viridiplantae; Streptophyta; Magnoliopsida; Malpighiales; Euphorbiaceae. The record is from RNAcentral.